Panicum hallii is the source of this 3586-nucleotide RNA transcript. RefSeq lists it as uncharacterized. The record is from RefSeq and is a predicted model, not a curated record. The transcript has 6 exons. Lineage: Eukaryota; Viridiplantae; Streptophyta; Magnoliopsida; Poales; Poaceae.
CCGUGCGGUCGGCCGGUCCCGUCGCGGCUGCCGCUAGCACGAGCUCCGCUCGGGCUCGCCUGGCCGUCGCUCGCCACGAGCUGCUGCCGCUGGCCGAGGACGCCUGGCUGCCGCUACUUGCGUGGCCGCGGGCGAGCCGGGGCACCUGGCCGCCGCGCGCUCGCGUGGCCGCGCUUGAGCAACGCGCGCUGCCUGGCCACCGCUGGCUCGCGUGGCUAUGCUCGAGUAGCACGUGGGCCCGCCUAGCCGCCGCGCACGCUAGCUGCCGGGGGAGCAGGGAUGGCUCGCGUGGCUGUGCUGGAGCAGCACGGUAGCUACUAGGGGAGCAGGCCCGCCUAGCUGCUGCGUGCAAGUCCCGCGCCGAUUCCCGCGUUGAAUCCCCAACUGCACAAGAUUCAGCUAAGCAUGAGGGAUGGGGAUGCCAAGCAAGAAUCUGGACGGUUCUUGGCUUUCUGCAGGGAUGGACCCUAAGUCAAGUUACUUGCUGGAAAUCAGACUCAAUUGCAAUCAUGAAAAGCGUAGGAAGGAUAUUUUAUACUUUAGCUUCAACAAAGUUAUGGAUUCUAAUCUAUGCAAUUUUAAGGACCUUGUCGAAGAAAUUGUUAAUCAGUACCCUCCUAGUUACCUGAAAGUAGUGCAUAUUUUUUACUACGAUGAGGUCAAAAAAUGCUUCCCACAAGUCACAACAGAUUAUGAACUACUUGAAAUGUUUAGCAAGCAUGUUGAGAAGAAGGUACUUCGUAUGACCAUUGCAUACACUGAUCCCAUAGAUGCUAUGCCUAUCCCUAAGUGCUACACCCUAGAAAAUUCAGAUGUGCUUGAUAUCCCAUGCACCCCAUCUAUGGCUUGUCCAUCACUUGCUACAGCAAGCCAGUCCAAUGAGCCAAUAUGCAGCCAAUAUUCUAAGCCAAAAACAGUUAGCCCGUUGAACCUAGCACAAAUGAACCUAAUGAUGCUCCUGAUGGUGCUGAAUAUUUGGCAAAUCCUGAACCACAAAAUGAACAUGUGGUUGUUGAUGAUGAAGGCUUGUACUUAGUUGUUCAUAAGACACAUGUGGUUGAGGAAAGUGACUCUAGUCUGAUUCUAAAUCCGACGAGGAGUAUGAGGAGGAGAAUGACUUAGUUGGCAAGGAUCCCUUAUGACCUGUGCCAGUUAUGGCCUAUGACCAAGAUGACCCACCAAUGAGUGUAGGCAACCUAUAUCCUAAUAUGGAGCAAUUUAAAUUGGCACUUUCUCAACAUGCUAUCAAACAUGAGUUUGAGUAUGACACUAAAAAGAGUGAUCCAAGAUGAUUGAGGGCUUAUUGUUCAAGGAAGGAAGAAGAAGGGUGCAGGUGGAGGUUGCAUGCUUCUACAAUUAAGGGUGAAAAAACCGUAAAGGUGAAGAAGAACCCACGGCGACAUACAUGUUCUAGUGCAAGAAGAAGCAAGGUUGUAAAGAAUGCAACAAAAUUUUGGGUCUGUGAACAAGUGAAGGAUCGGCUAAUGGAGGAUUCAAGUUUGAAAGCUAAAGAAUUACAAAGGAGGAUAAAGGAUAAGCACAAGGUAGAGGUUCCCUACAAGAGAGUGUAUGCAGGUAAAGAAUUGGCACAUACACGAUUAUUUGGUAGUUGGGACAAUAGCUUCAACAACCUGUACAGGUUUAAGGCUGAGAUGGAGAGGUGCUGUCCUGGAAGUUUUGUUGUCAUUGAUCAUCAUAAAGUUGAUGGGAAAAUCAGAUUUAAUAGGCUAUUUUUUGCUAUGAAACCAUGCAUAGAAGGUUUUCUAAAAGGAUGCAGGCCUUAUUUGGCAAUAGAUAGCACAUUUUUUACAGAAAGGUUUAGGGGGCAGCUGGCAUGUGCAGUAGCUGUAGAUGGACACAACUGGAUGUAUCCAGUUGUUGUUGGAGUGAUGGACUCAGAAACAAAUGAAAAUUGGAUAUGGUUUAUGCAAAAUCUUAGAGAUGCUAUUGGAUCACCUGAGGCUUAGCUAUAUGCACAGAUGCUGGACAAGGAGUGCUAACGAGAGUUAAGGAAGUGUUCCUAGUUGCAGAACAUAGGGAAUGCAUGCUACAUUUGGUGAUAAACUUCAAGAAAAGAUAUAUAAGAAAGAUAUUUGAGGAUCAUCUUUAGGCAGCAGCAUAUUCAUGGGCUCCAUACUUCUUUGAGAAGCAUUGGAAUGCAAUGGAUGAAGAAAAUCCAGAAGCAAUGAAUUAUAUAAGGCAAUGUCAUACUAGGAAAUGGGCAAGAAGUCAAUUUUGUUCCGAUUGCAAGAUUGACUAUGUCACAAACAACUUGGCAGAGUGCUUCAACAAUUGGGUAAAGAAGUACAAGGGUUUGAAUCUGGACGACUUUAUGGAUAUGAUUAGACAACUUAUUAUGGAUGAGUGGGAUAUUAGAAGGGAUGUCUCGGCAAAGAUUGAAGGGGUAUUUUGCCACACAUCAUGAAGGAGUUGAGGGAGCAAAGCAGGAACUUGGAUAUGGAUGUCCAUAGAAGUGGAGAUAUUCUUGGAGAGGUGGGUGUUAAGGGUGGUAGUGGCUACAAAUGUGUUGUCAAUCUAGAAGAAAGAACUUGUUCAUGUAGGAAAUGGCAAGUACCAGGGAUUCCAUGCAAACAUGCCAUUGCAUUCAUCACAUAUCUUAGGGAACCUCUAGAGAAAUAUGUUGACAACUAUUAUUCAGUCGAUAAAUUUAGAGCUGCUUAGUCUCUCAUUCCUGCCAUGCCUGACAUAGCACAAUGGCCACAAUCUGAUCAUGGGUUUUUCAUGCAUCCACCACUCAUAAAAUCUACAGCGGGUAGAAGAUAGAACCAGAGGUUUAAAGGUUGUACGGAAGGCAGCACAAUAAGAAAGAAAGGGUCACAUCAUUGCAAAGUUUGUAAGAAAUUUAGCCAUCGCUGAUAUAAGUGCAAGGAAGGUGACCCUGAGGACAUAGCAGCUAUGCCAGCUGAAAAGGGUCCACCAAAGAAAAGAAAGAAAAUCAUUAAGCCAUCUUGUGAGAGUAGCAUUGUACCUGUUGGUCUAACACCUAAAACAAUGAAUUUUUCUCCUAACCAAACUACCUCGGUUAGCUUAGGAUCUAGAAAUUCUCUCAGGUCCAGAAGUGGCUCAAACCAACUUGAGCUACUUCCUGCACGUGAGACAACACCACCACCUGCCACCUCCAAGCCCAGGGAGAAGAAAGCUAAAGGGAAGGCAGCAGGGAAGAAAAAUAAAAAAGAAAUUUCAGUACCACAUGAUAGUCCUGCAAUGAGUACUAGAAGCAAGACCCCUCAACAAGACAGCCCUGCCUCUCAUACUAGAAGCAAAAGAAAGCUUCCACUUACUGAUUUGAACUAGUGUUAAUGCUGUUUCUUUUGUAUGUCAUUUCCUAUUUUGGUUGGUCUUUGUGACACCAAAUCUCGUUUCUUUUGCUAAGCUUAUUUCAACUAGUAGUUGCUGUUACUCUACCUAUAUAGCUGCUUGUAUGGAAGCAAUGGCUGAUUGCAAGGAUGCUUGUAUGGACAUCAAUGAUUACUUGUAUGGCUACUUGUAUGGCUGCAUAUAUGGACAACAAUGAUGCUAUAUAGACAUCAAUGGUUGUUUGACUAGUUGCUUAUUUGGAUAUCAA